GACGAACGCUGGCGGCGUGCUUAACACAUGCAAGUCGAACGGAAAGGCCCUGCUUUUGUGGAGUGCUCGAGUGGCGAACGGGUGAGUAACACGUGAGUAACCUGCCCUUGACCUUGGGAUAACUUCAGGAAACUGGGGCUAAUACCGGAUAGGAGCUCCUGCUGCAUGGUGGGGGUUGGAAAGUUUCGGCGGUUGGGGAUGGACUCGCGGCUUAUCAGCUUGUUGGUGGGGUAGUGGCUUACCAAGGCUUUGACGGGUAGCCGGCCUGAGAGGGUGACCGGCCACAUUGGGACUGAGAUACGGCCCAGACUCCUACGGGAGGCAGCAGUGGGGAAUAUUGCACAAUGGGCGGAAGCCUGAUGCAGCAACGCCGCGUGCGGGAUGACGGCCUUCGGGUUGUAAACCGCUUUCGCCUGUGACGAAGCGUGAGUGACGGUAAUGGGUAAAGAAGCACCGGCUAACUACGUG
Molecule: ribosomal RNA, 468 nt
Filed under: uncultured bacterium
Lineage: Bacteria
Description: partial 16S ribosomal RNA
Rfam family: Bacterial small subunit ribosomal RNA
Source: RNAcentral